UAAUACGUAGGUGGCAAGCGUUGUCCGGAAUUAUUGGGCGUAAAGCGCGCGCAGGUGGUUCCUUAAGUCUGAUGUGAAAGCCCCCGGCUCAACCGGGGAGGGUCAUUGGAAACUGGGGAACUUGAGUGCAGAAGAGGAUAGUGGAAUUCCAAGUGUAGCGGUGAAAUGCGUAGAGAUUUGGAGGAACACCAGUGGCGAAGGCGACUGUCUGGUCUGUAACUGACACUGAGGCGCGAAAGCGUGGGGAGCAAACAGGAUUAGAUACCCUGGUAGUCCACGCCGUAAACGAUGAGUGCUAAGUGUUGGGGGGUUUCCGCCCCUCAGUGCUGCAGCUAACGCAUUAAGCACUCCGCCUGGGGAGUACGGUCGCAAGACUGAAACUCAAAUGAAUUGACGG
Molecule: ribosomal RNA, 397 nt
Filed under: bacterium enrichment culture
Lineage: Bacteria
Description: bacterial SSU rRNA
Rfam family: Bacterial small subunit ribosomal RNA
Source: RNAcentral